This 811-nucleotide ribosomal RNA is filed under the name uncultured bacterium. Its description in RNAcentral is "bacterial SSU rRNA". It matches the Rfam family "Bacterial small subunit ribosomal RNA", at positions 552 to 1369 of the family's 1533-position model. The record is from RNAcentral.
UAUUGGGUUUAAGGGUGCGUAGCGGCUUUAUAAGUCCGGGGUGAAAGCCCGUUGCUCAACAACGGAACUGCCCUGGAUACUGUAAGCUUGAGUACAGACGAGGUUGGCGGAAUGGACCGAGUACGGUGAAAUGCAUAGAUACGGUCCAGAACCCCGAUUGCGAAGGCAGCUGACUAGCUGUUACUGACGCUGAGGCACGACAGCGUGGGGAGCGAACAGGAUUAGAUACCCUGGUAGUCCACGCCGUAAACGAUGGAUACUCGCUGCGGGCUAAAGAUUGUCCGUGGCUUAGGAAACCGAUAAGUAUCCCACCUGGGGAGUACGCCGGCAACGGUGAAACUCAAAGGAAUUGACGGGGGCCCGCACAAGUGGUGGAGCAUGUGGUUUAAUUCGAUGAUACGCGAGGAACCUUACCUAGCUAAAUGCGCGUGACCGGCUCAGAGAUGAGUUUUUCCUUCGGGACACAAAGCAAGGUGCUGCAUGGCCGUCGUCAGCUCGUGCCGUGAGGUGUUGGGUUAAGUCCCGCAACGAGCGCAACCCCUAUGGUUAGUUGCCAGCACGUAAUGGUGGGGACUCUAGCCAGACUGCCUGCGCAAGCAGUGAGGAAGGCGGGGACGACGUCAGGUCAUCAUGGCCCUUACGCCUAGGGCGACACACGUGCUACAAUGGACGGUACAGCGGGUACUACUGGGCGACCAGAUGCCAAUCUCGAAAAGCCGUUUCUCAGUUCGGAAUCGGAGUCUGCAACUCGGACUCCCGUGAAGCUGGAAUCACUAGUAAUCCGCGGCAUCAGCCAUGGCGCGGUGAAUAC